RNAcentral lists this long non-coding RNA (3948 nucleotides) under Xyrichtys novacula (pearly razorfish). The record is from RNAcentral. Lineage: Eukaryota; Metazoa; Chordata; Actinopteri; Labriformes; Labridae.
UUGGGUAUCUUAAGAAACCAGAUUUGGUCUUGGGUUCUGGUUCUGGUGAUUCAGAACCAGGCGAAGUCAGGUCAGAGAGUCCAGGCAGACUGUCUCCGCUCAGGACCUCGGGCUGGUCAUCAUCAGUGAAUCUGUCUGGGUGAUCAAGAUAAGACUGACUUUGUUUUGAAACUGUUGCUCCUCUGUUUCCUUUAGAUAACAGCUCUCUGUUUGCUGUGAUUGGAUCCAGCGUGGUUCUUUUUGGGUAUCUUAAGAAACCAGCUCUGGUCUUGGGUUCUGGUUCUGGUGAUUCAGAACCAGACGAACUCAGCUCAGAGAUUUCAGACGGACUCUCUCUGCUCAGGACCUUGAGGUAGUAAUGAUCAGUGAAUCUGUCUUGGUGAUCAGGAUAAGACUGUCGUUGUUUUGAAACUGUUCCCCUUCUUUUUCCUUUAGAUAACAGCUGUCUGUGUGCUGUGUUUGGAUCCAGUGUGAUUCUUUCUGAAUAUCUUAAGAAACCAGCUCUGGUCUUGGGUUCUGAUGGUUCUGACAGUAAAACAUCCACUUCAGUCACUGCCUGUGAGACAUUUGUCCAUGUCUCUGUCAGAAGAUCCUGGAGUUUAUCUCUGACUGCUGACACUGCUGCUGUCACCUCCGCAAAAUAUCUCAGAGAACGAAUGUUGAUCCUGGAUGAGUCUGCAGGUUUUACCGGUCCUGACAGUGAAGAGUAGCUGUGCAGAAACUGGUUGUGGUCCUCUGUGAGUGAGAGCUUCUGCAGAUCAGUGUCUUUUCUCUUCAGCUCAGUGAUCUCCUGCUCCAGCUCAUCCUGAAUCUCUUUGACUCGACUCACUUCACGUUCCUGUUGGGAUCUGACCUGCUGCUCUACCUCAGAGCGGCGUUUCUCCAUGACACGGAUCAGCUGGCUGAAGAUCUCCUGGCUGUGCUCCACUGCUUUAUCAGCAGAGCCGUUGAUAGCCUCCACCUUCUGUUGGAGCAGCUUCACAUCUUCCUCUCUGUCCUGGACUCUCUGCUGGAUGUUUUCUCGACUCUCCUCCAGAUCUUUCUGCCUCUCAGUCCUUUCUGCUGCAGCUGAGACUGUGUCAUGGCCUUUGUGUUGGUCCACAGAGCAGAGGUAACAGAUAGACUGCUGAUCAGUGCGGCAGAACAUCUUCAUCACCUCAUCAUGACGAGAGCAGAUGUUCUCCUGGAGCUCCUUGGAGGGCUCCACCAGCUUGUGUUUCUUAAAUGAAGGUGAUUCAAAAUGAGGCUGGAGGUGAAUCUGGCAGUAAGAAACCAGACAUUGCAGACAGGACUUGACAGCUUUCAGUUUUCUCCCACUGCAGAAAUCACAGGCCACAUCUUCAGGUCCAGCAUCAGAGGGAUCAUCAGGAGCAGCUUGGAGUCUGCUCUUCUUCAGAUCCUCCACUAAACUUGCUAAGAUGGUGUUUUUCUUCAGGACAGGCCUCGGUAUGAAGGUCUGCCUGCACUGAGGACAGCUGUAGAUCUUCUUCUCAUCCUCAGUAUCCCAGUAGGUUUGAAUACAGCUCAUGCAGAAGCUGUGUCCACAGUUAACAGUCACCGGAUCAUUCAGUAGAUCCAAACAGAUGGAACAAGAGAGAGAUUCACAGUCCAGCUGAACUCCUUUCUGCGCCAUUUCAACACUAGCUGUCAACUGACUGACUGAGUUUCAUUUCCUAAGAAGGUAAACCAGUCUGAGCUCUGAUCUCAACAACAUCAGGAUCAGCUCAGCACACGCUGGUUACUCCGUGCUCAACUGUAGAUCUGAAGAGGAGGGAACAAGGAAGUGAGCGUGCAGAGUGGAGUGUGCUGUGUGAGAGACGAGGGAGGGGAAAUGCAGCUCUUGUGUAAUCCAGUAAGAGGAGCAGCGAUGUGAACUUUUGACUCUCAAAUUCCAACAAGUUGAGGUUAUUAAUGCUGCAGCGGUCCUGAAGAUCAACUGCACCAACAUUUAUUCACCUCAUAUCAACAUUGACGGAUCACAGAAACAAUUACACUGUUUUAUCCUGAUAUCCACACUUAUUUAAAUAUACACCACAUAUAAACUCUCUCUCUCUGGCUUGUUGACCUCUGAGGGAAGUUUUUCUCACUUGUUUUCUUUCUUUGUGUUGUUUGGUUUGUGCUCGUUGUUUAUUCUUCGUUUACCCUUCUCAUAACCUUUUCUCAAAUCUGUGUCUCAUCUUUCUCUGCUGUCCAGAGAGGUGAUCUUCUCCAAUGUACCCAGCUGAGCCAUCUGGUCUCUCACAGAUGUUAGGUCUAGAUAAUCCUAGGUCUAGUGUUGUUGGAGACGGCGUAGUUUAAGGAGAAGGAAAUGAAAACUCACAACAAUAACCUGCAUAAUAAACAAGAUUAAUAAAAAAUAGACAGUGAUAUUUUGGCUUAUUUCCCACUACGGAGCCCUGUGGAUUUUCACAAUAAGGGCAACAUGUUUUGGCGUAAGAUGCCGCCAAAUGCCAUGAUCAAGGUAAGUCACAUGACUUUUGUUGUGGACAUUACACCCCUCCGACCAAACAAUGUUUUAAAUGCUAAAAUGUCAUGAAUGUGCCAUGCUGUCAGCUUCGGAAGACACCGUAGUUUGCCUUAGUUUUUUGUUGUGAACUUGGCAGAUAGCUAACAGAUGAUCUCCAAUGAACAGGUGAGUCAGCAGUUGAGUUUUCAGCCUGUUUACUGUUGAUGAACUGUGAAACUGCAACAUGAAAAUAAACAAUAAAAUGUCACAUGUUGUUUAACUCAAUAAUCUAAUACUAUACAAAUCCACAUAAAGAACAUUAAUUUUUAUUUAACAACACCAGCAAAUAAUCGCAGAUUAGCCUAAUGCUAAAGUUAUAUUGGAAAUGCCAUUGACAGGCUGGCGCGUUAGCAUCGCUCUUUUUUUUUUUUUUUUUUUUUCAAGUUUUCCCACAUGAAUUAUGAACUGUUUUUGAAAUUUUAACACGUGAGUUCAACACAGUAACAACAAUAAAUGCAUAUGUUUGAUGUACACCUUGGUAGUGUGUGGUCCGUGUUUAUAAAUGCAUGCAGUAAAUUACCAGCAAUAUCUUUGUGCUGACUACGGCAUCUCCAACAACACGCAUCGUCUGAAUAGCUGUGUUGUGCUGAAUUGCAUUUCACUCCAUACACACUGAAAUAGGAAAUAUCCCCCAAACCAAGUAUUUUAUUUUUAUGAGGUGAGCAAUGACAAUGAAUUGCACGGACCCUCUGAAGCAUUACUGUCAUGACACCAAUCCUGUUUGGCUGGUGAAAUUUUUUGUCCGCCUUGGGUAGUCCCACGACCAUAAGUAUCUUAUGUGGAUGGCACCACCUCAUUUAAACACCUCUUCUCACUCGGAGCAUAUCUCGCGUCCAGGGCUAGCUAGCUAAACUGUCGCCGGUGCUGCAACCUUGGUUAUUUUUCUGUUUCGUUGGUCACAUCAGAUCAAUUCCAGUGCUCCCGAACCCCUCCACGGCUUGGUUAGCACUGUUCUCGCAGCCCCAACACAGUUUUUCAAGCACAAAGCAUUAGCACACCAGCUAAUUCUAUGCUCACCAGUUAACUGUCUCGAUUCCCCACCGGUACACCAGUCCGAGAAGAAUGGAGGCUACUAUCCCUCACAACAGGGGGCAUGGAGACUCUGGAGCCAGGCUCUGUAGCUGUGGGAAUAAGACUUUGAGCAGGGAUCCACACCAGGUCAGGCUCGGGCUGCCUGGGGUUGAAACAUGCCCAGGGGCUCCCAGCUCGACCGUGGCUCCCCAGCAGGAGGAAGAUGUCCUAGAAUUGGGCAAUGGGGCGGCUCAGAACUUCUCAAAUCAGAGGAUGAAGAAGAGGACAACAUCUUCAUCACUCCAGCCCGGGCUGCGCAACCUGAGGCCUUCGCCCGGGACGAGUGUAGCAUAGUAGCUUCUCCUCUUCCUAGCUCAGAUAUACUCCAUGUGUGCAAAUGCGCUGCUGUCCGGCUAGCCAUCCCCUGGCCC